Molecule: long non-coding RNA, 2026 nt
Filed under: Sus scrofa (pig)
Lineage: Eukaryota; Metazoa; Chordata; Mammalia; Artiodactyla; Suidae
Description: lncRNA (ENSSSCG00030014528.1)
Source: RNAcentral
GGGCCGCACCCACGUCAUAUGGAGGUUACCAGAGUAGGGGUCGAAUCGGAGCUGUAGCCACUGACUACACUACAGCCACAGUAAUGCGGGACCCAAGCUGCAUCUGGGACCUACAUCACAGCUCCUGGCAAUGCUGGAUCCUUAAAUUCACUGGGCGAGGCCGGGGAUUGAACCUGUGUUCAUGGAUACUAGUCAGAUUCGUUUCUGCUGAGCCAUGACAGGAACUCCAAUUUUUUGCUUUUUUACCAAAAUUCUAGGUGAGGGUUUCUAACUGUUACUAUUUUGUUUUUAUAAUACUAUAAUAAAGAUUCUCCCAUGAAUAAAUUUCCAAACAAAAAACUUGCUAAGCCAUUUAGUUUGGAAAUGUUCCUUUGCACUAAGACACUAACCCUCACCAAACAUGUAUUUCCAAUAUUUUCUCCCAUUUGCCUGUCUCUGAACUAUAGCUCAAAUUGGCGCUACGAGGUAUUUUUGCUAUAGGCAUGUUCUGAGUAUUCAAGCAAAUAAUCUUCCUAUGGCUUAUAGCCCUAGUGUCACAUCAAGAAGCCCUUUCUGCAAACAACCCACCCAAAGGUUAUAAAAUAUUUCUUGUAAUAAUUUUCUAGUGCUUCUGCGUUUGAUUUUUACAGUUAAAUCUUUAAUCCACCCAGAAUCUCUAUGCGCUGUGGAACGUACAAUUUUCUACUUUAUUUUUCCCAAAAGACACACACUGCCAGUUGAUGUAACAUCUUCGUACAUUAUAAAUCAUCCAUUCCCAACCCAUGUAAAAUAUCACACUAGGAGUUCUUCUGCGGUCCUAUGGGUUAAGGAUCUGGCUUUGCCACUGUUGUGGCUUGCUGCUGUGGCGUGGGUUCAAUCCCUGGCCCAAAGAACUUCCACACCCCCUGGGCACAGGCUGGGCGGGGGACAGCACUUGCAUACAGAAAACUGGCCGUGCCCACAGCAGGCUGAAGUUCCCGGGCCAGAGACUGAACCCUGGCCACAGCAGCAGUGGUCCAAACCACAGCAGUAACACCACCAGAUCCUUAGACUGCUGAGCCACCAGGGAACUCCCUUCUUUCUAUGAAGCAGUAGGUUAUUUACCAAAAAAGAAAGCCUGUUGCCAGACCCGAGGCUCUCAGGAUGAACCACUUUCCUUCGCCUUUUCUGACCAUUCAUUAUUUAACUCUCGUGCCUCAAAGCAGUGACUUCAAUAAUACCACUAAAGACAGAAUUUCACUGUAAAGCACCCUAAAGUCUACUUCAGCUAACCGUUCAGGACAAAGAGCUUAACUGCAGGAUGGAUUGUAUGUCCCUGGCCUCUCUCCCUCGGGGCACCUCUGAGAGGAUGAGGCCGCAGGAGAGGCAGGAGCAGCCACACAGGUGCACCUGGAGCUGGAGCCUUCCCACGCCCCUGCUCGCUCCCCCGGGAAUCACAGCAUCUCAGUCACAGGAAUAAUAAGUGAGAAAGACAAAGGGAUGGCAGUGAAAGGAACCUGUUUGUCUAACUGCAGCUACUCAUCAAGUGCCUGGCUCCUCCUUCCUGCCUCUUCCUGCAGGGGACCCGGGUCCCUCUGGCACUCUCCCCAAGGACAUGUCAAUUCUGCAACAGGCCAGGAUGUACACAGCUUCAGGGCUUACAUUCAGUUUAAAAGGGAAUGUGUACCUGAGCCUGCACCGACUUGUAAUGCUAUGUCAUUAUGUCUUAGAUUAAAAUCUUUUUUGUUUGAAAUGUAAUUCCUCCCCCUCCCAAUCAAAUCAGCUAAUCUCACCUUGUCUCUUUCACAUCUUGAAAUUCUGAGCUUAGCAGGCACUUUACGCAAACUGUCAAGCAUGGAAGGGUAGCUCAAACGACAGGAGGGAUCGUUGGCUGACAGCUAACUCCUUCAACCCAUUUUUCAAAUAGAAAACACAUUAAAUUUGACGUUAAUUCAAACGCUAUUUAACCUCACGAGGCUUACUGCAGAUUGGUCACAGGUGCCACGCCCCAGCCUCUCAACUGGAGGAAGAAGCACACUGACCAGGACAUGCUGUGAAAUCCUGAGCC